Molecule: ribosomal RNA, 253 nt
Filed under: uncultured bacterium
Lineage: Bacteria
Description: partial 16S ribosomal RNA
Rfam family: Bacterial small subunit ribosomal RNA
Source: RNAcentral
UACGUAGGGCGCAAGCGUUGUCCGGAUUCACUGGGUGUAAAGGGUGCGCAGGCGGACUGGCAAGUCAGGGGUGAAAUCUCACAGCUCAACUGUGAAACUGCCUUUGAUACUGCUGGUCUUGAGUCAGGGAGAGGUUGAUGGAAUUCCGCGUGUAGCAGUGAAAUGCGUAGAUAUGCGGAGGAACACCGAUGGCGAAGGCAGUCCCCUGGACCUGUACUGACGCUCAUGCACGAAAGCGUGGGGAGCAAACAGG